This 945-nucleotide ribosomal RNA is filed under the name uncultured bacterium. RNAcentral's name for it is "bacterial SSU rRNA". It matches the Rfam family "Bacterial small subunit ribosomal RNA", at positions 11 to 913 of the family's 1533-position model. The record is from RNAcentral.
GUUUGAUCCUGGCUCAGAACGAACGUGUGGCGGCGUGGAUUAGGCUGCAGUCGUAACGACGAAAGAGGGGGCACCCCUCGAGUAGAGUGGCGAACGGGUGAGUACACGCGUGAGAAACCUGCCCAGAAGCGGGGGAUAACACCUCCCACGGGGUGCUAAUACCGCAUGUGAUGAGCGGUUCGCAUGGAUCGCUCCUCAAAGAUGGCCUCUGCUUGCAGCUAUCGCUCCUGGAUGGUCUCGACGUCCGAUUAGACUAGUUGGCGGGGUAAUGGCCCACCCAAGGCGACCGACUCGGUAGCUGGUCUGAGACGGAUGGUCAGCCACAACUGGGACUGAGAUACGGCCCAGACCUCCUACGGGACGGCAGCACGUCGAGAGGGCUUCCGGCAAUGGGGGAAACCCUGACCCGAGCGAACGCCCGCCGUGGGGGGAGGGCCCUUGGGGUUGUAAACCCCUUUCGACCGGGAAGAAUGAUCUCCGGGUGAACAAUCCGGAGACUUGACGGUACCGGUGGAAGAAGCUCCGGCUAACUCCGUGCCAGCAGCCGCGGUAACACGGGGGGAGCGAACGUUGUUCGGAAUCACUGGGCGUAAAGGGCGUGUAGGCGGUUCGGUAAGUGGGAUGUGAAAGCCCCCGGCUCACCCGGGGAACUGCAUCCCAAACUGCCGGACUUGAGUGCGGGAGAGGAUGGGGGAAUUCCUGGUGUAGCGGUGAAAUGCGUAGAUAUCAGGAGGAACACCGGUGGCGAAGGCGCCCAUCUGGCCCGUUACUGACGCUGAGGCGCGAAAGCUAGGGGAGCAAACGGGAUUAGAUACCCUGGUAGUCCACGCCGUAAACGUUGGGCACUAGGUGUGGGACCCUAUCGACGGGAUCCGUGCCGUAGCUAACGCAUUAAGUGCCCCGCCUGGGGAGUACGGCCGCAAGGCUAAAACUCAAAGGAAUUGA